RNAcentral lists this long non-coding RNA (8539 nucleotides) under Ananas comosus (pineapple). RNAcentral describes it as "long non-coding RNA (ACOM_LNC024319)". Lineage: Eukaryota; Viridiplantae; Streptophyta; Magnoliopsida; Poales; Bromeliaceae. The record is from RNAcentral.
CGAAUCGUGCCAAAUUGGUAGUGGUUUCGGGGCGGGGCGUGACAGUUAUCAAGCUAGCAUUGUGAUGGCACCGUUCGAAGUCCUGUAUGGACGGAAGUGCCGAUCCCCGAUAUGUUGGAGCGAUGAAGGUGAGCAUGCGGCAUUGGGCCCAGAUAUAUUGCGAGAGGCGGAAGAGAAGGCUCAUCUCGCUCGCGAGAGGCUACUUAUGGCACAGUCAAAGCAAAAGAGCUAUUCUGACAAGCGCCGUAGAGACUUGGAAUUCGCGGUGGGUGACCGCGUCUUCUUGGAGGUUUCAACAAUGAGAGGUAUGAAACGCUUCGGAAUGCGGGGAAAGCUAAGUCCCCGAUAUAUCGGGCCUUUCGAAGUGUUGGAACGUGUUGGAACAGUAGCAUACAGACUAGCAUUACCGCCGAAGCUCGCGGGCGUGCAUAAUGUGUUCCACGUCUCCAAUCUUCACAAAUACGUUCACGACCCCGAGCAUGUCAUGUAUUAUGAGCCAACGGAUCUACAAGAGGAUUUGAGCUAUGAAGAGUUUCCGGCGAUAAUCAUUGCUCGAGAAGUGCAGAAGCUAAGAAAUCAUGAGAUUCCCUAUGUGAAGAUCCGUUGAACUAAUCAUGAUGAUCGUGAAGCCACGUGGGAACUCGAAUAAACGAUGAAAGUACAUUAUCCUCAUCCUUUCGCGGAAAUGUAAUGAGGUAUGAGUUGUUGAAUUCGUUUCGAGGACGAAACUCCUUUUAGGAGGGGAGGAUGUAAGGAAGUGAAUUCUCGAAAUACGAGAGUUAGACUUCAUGCGAAAUCGACCAAGGGUUGUGUUGGUGUGCUUUGGAAAAGCCAAAGAUGACAAAUCACCAAAAGUGCAUUGGAAACGAGUCCAUGAGAGCAAAUAGUGCAAAACCUGCACUGGAGCAAAAUUGCUCUCGGGGACCGGUCCCUGGCAGGGAGGGACCGGUUCCAUCGGCUGGUGGUUGCGGGGAUCUUUGAGGCAACCGGUCCCUGGCAGGGAGAGACCGGUCCCCGAACGCGAACCCAGCGAGAAAAGCCAAAAUUUGGCUAAGUCCCGAAAAUCCUGCUCUCGGGAACCGGUCUUUCAGGAAGGAACCGGUCUCCCGAGGACCAGUCUCUCUGGGAGAGAUCGGUACCCGAACGCGUGACCCGAGCUGAAGCUCUCGACGACCGGUCCCAAGUCGGGGAGACCGGUCCCUCUGGGCGAAAACUGCCUAGUGAGGGCAGGUUGAGAGAUAUAAAGUUGAGGGAUUUUUCUGCAAAAAUGCCUUAAGUUAGAGGGUAUAAAGGGAAGAGAGCCUCUCCUCUCUCUCUCACAUCCCCUCACUCUCAUUUCUCCCUCACUAUCUCACACUCUCUUGCUCCCUCUCUCUCUCUAGAAGGAAAAGAGAAGGAGAAGAAGAGAAAUAGAAGAAGAAGAAGAAGGAGGAAAAGAAGAAGAAGAAGGAGAAGAUCAAGCUCAAGGAGGCUUGGAGCAUCUCCCUCUUCCUCUCCUCACCAUUAGAGUAGCUCAAGAGGUAAGCUUUUGAACCCUAGCUUAUGGAACUUAGGGUUUUUGGGCUUUGAGCUUUUGAAAUGGGUCAAUUGGACCUCUAGCAUGUUUCUAAAUAGAUCAAUGCUAGAAUCUAGGGUUUUGAUUUGGUAGUUUGCUAUAGGUGCAAACCUAGGGCACCCAAAUAGGAUUUUUGGUAAAGCAUGAGAUUGAUCUCAUUUGAUACCUUGUAAACCUAAUUGCUAGGUGUUUAAACGCGGGGGCGAAGUCGGAUUCACAUUUCAUCGAGUGGAUUUAGAGCUAUCGGUAAAAUACGGCCGAUUUAGCAUUAUUUUGGACCAAGAAGGCCAAGACUUCGUCGUAAAGUUCACCGAGGAGCGUUUCUAGAACCUCUACAUCAAGAAAAGGUGGGGGGUGUCAUCGCGAAGCAACUGAACUCCUUUCUAUGUGUAAUAUAUCGAGAAUUCGGAAAAUAAAUGUCGAACUUUAGUCAAAUUGACCAAAGUGCGUGGACGGUACAUUUCGGAAAGUCCGAAGGUGUUAAAAUGAGUAAAAGUGUAUUGUGGAAGGUUUUCGGAAGCUAAGGAAUCAAAAAUCUGCAAACUGCAGUUUUUGAGCUCUCGGGGACCGGUCCCUGUUGGGAGAGACCGGUCCCUGUUGGGAGAGACCGGUCCCCGAACACGCAAGAAAUGAGAAAAGCCAAAAAUCGGCUAAGUCCCAGAAAACCAGCUCUCGGGAACCGAUCCCUGCCUGAGAGACUGGUCCCCCAGAGACCGGUCCCCUCAAAGAGAGACCGGUCGCAUCGCACGCGGCAGCUCUUGCUGCGCUGGGACGAGCUUCGGGAACCGGUCCCUGAUGGAGAGACCGGUCCCCACCUGCGCGAACUGCCCAGUCCAGGCAGUGUGAAAGAGUGAAAGUUGAAGGGUUUAGCUGCAAUUUGGCAACCCAUUGAGCUAUGUAUUUGGGUAAAUGGGAAAUUUCUCUCAUUUCUCAUCCUCUCACACUCUCUCCUCCCUUUCUCUCUCUAGAAGACAAAAAAGGAGAAGAGGAGAAGAAGAAUAGAAGGAAGAGAAGGAAAAAAAAGAGAAGAAAAAUGAGAAGAAGGUGAAGAAGAAGCCAAGGGAGUGAGACAACUCCAUCUUCUUCCUCAUUGAAGCAAGGAGGGAAAGCUUUGAGAUAAGCUUUGAUCCCUAUUGUGAUAAAGCUACGAAUGGUUUUUAUAGAACCUCUAGAGUAUUUGGAGCUUUCUCUUUGCUUCUUUGGAGAUCAAGACCAUGGCAUGAGUGUAGUGGGUGAAGCUUGAAGGUGAGUUCCAUCACCUCCCAUGGUAGAACCCUAAGUAGGGUUUUGAUUUGUCUAAGAAUGGUCCUAAUGGAUUUCCUAGAGUAAAAUAAAGCUGCUUUUGCUUCCCAAUGAGAUCAAACCCUAGGUUUGAUGUUUGCUAUGGAGCUAGGGCAGCCAAAUUAGGGCUUUUGCUCAUGAGGAUUUCUAAGUGAAAUUAACCCUCUAGAAACCUAAUUGGGGGUAUUUCCGACGCGUUGGUGUGCCCGGAUUAUCGUUACGAAAAGUCUAUAAAAAGUUAUGGGUAAAAUGGCCUAAGUUGGCUUCGUUUUGCCGCAGGUAGUGAACGAGAAGCCUAAAAAUUCCAAGAAAAUCGUCGGAGCACCUUUGAAAGCCUACGAGGUGGGUGGUGCUUUCCAAACUCGUUGAAAUUCUCUCUAUGCCUAAUGUGUCAUUCAAUUGAACAUAUGUUUAUACAUUGUUGCAUGCAUUUAGGGUAAAGUAAUGAUAAAAAUGUGAUGUUGCAUGAUUGCGAGUACAACUUGCAUAAUGUGAUGGUUGAGAACCUUAUGAAUGUCGAAAACCCUAUAUAUGUAUGCAUGAGAGAAAAUGUGAGUACCCAAAGUGAGGCGAAAGAACAGAGUGACACAACGAGACAUAGAACGAGUGGCAUUUAAUAAUGUAAAGUAAAGUGACACUAGAGGUAGUGUGAGGCAAAGAAUCAAUGUGAUGUAAAGAAUAAUGCUAAUGACUAAAGUGAAAACAAAGUGGGGUGUAAAGAACAAGAAUGCUAAAGAUAGCCAAGAGUAAAGAAAUGUAAAGAACAAGAAUGCUAAAAAUAGUCAAAAGUAAAGAAAGAUAAAGAACAAUGAUUGCUAGAGUAGCAACAUAAAGUGAUGUAAAGAACACUAGAGUUAGUGUAAAGUCAAGAUUGAACAUAUAAUCCUUUGAGUUAAGAAUUCGAUCAUACUUGCUAUGAGUUCCGUGCUCGACGGUGGUCGCUCCCCCUCGGGCGAUGCGCUCCGGAGUUUUUGCAUCACGGGUUGGAGUAAACCCGAAGGACGGUCCUAGCGGGAGGAAGCUGAGGGCCCGCCAUGAUGGACUUAAUUUGAAGCAAGUUAAUGUGGCGAAACCCUCGGGUUAGCCUUGAGAUUAAAGAACAAAGAGCAAAGAACAAAAAACAAAGAUAAAGUGUAAAGUGCAAAGAACUAAAGAACUUGCAUAAUCUACAUAUGUUAAUGUUGAGCAUAUUUCAUGCUUAUUGUUCAGGCAUACUAGCAUCAUAUUAUAGAUUUGUUACCAUAUGCAGCUUUUCCUUUCUAUUAUGCCUGAGUUAGUCCUAGUGGAAAAGUCGGUGAGAUUAAGGCCGAACCCACUGGGAACUUUGUUGUAGUUCUCACCCUACUAUUUCCACAGAGCCCGGGCUCGAGCGAGCCGGCGAGCGAUCGCGGUAAAGGUAUUGCGCCUUAGUCAGAGGCCAGCAGAGUUUGGUUUCCAUUUUGUAGUAGCAUUCCUCUUUAUCAUCUUUUGUAUUUGAUGAUUGAAAAUGUUGAUGUUUUAAGUAUGGAAAGAAAAGAAUGUAAAGCACCCUUUUGAGGUAAAUGUGAUGUAAGAAAGAAAUGAUGAAAUGAUGCAAUGUAAUGUAAGGAAUUUGAAAAUGCGCAAGUUGGACUUAAUGUAUAUGAUCUAAAUUGAAUCAUAGUACAAAAUGAAUGCUAGUUUUCCUAUCUUUCACUCAUGGCUAUUGCUUACCCUCGUGUAAGCCGUAUUUGUAUGUUUCCGCUAGUGCACUUCUUGAUUGAAAUUGUACAUGUGAUGAGCCUUGGGCGGACAAGGGAAACUCUGUCCGUUCGGUGUCUGUUUGACGUGCUCGGGCCGGCCCAAAUUGGUAUCGGUCCCGGGGCGUGACAGAUAUCGUGGUAUCAGAGCACCAAGAGUGAAAGAAUAGCAAUGGACUUAGAGACCCUUAGGAUUGGAAGACCUUAAGGAUCUAGGAAACGUGAGUGACGUGGAAUCAAAGUUAGCGAAAGCAUAUGAUUGGGUUAAGUUGGGACGUCUCUAAUGUGAUUAGAGGCUAGGCUUAAAUUUCGUUUAUCCUCUACUUCUAGUGUUGUGUCGGGCGGCCGACGACAUGACGCUUGAGGCAAGGAUGGAUGUGCAUGAUGCUUUCGCCGGAUUGGGUUGGUCAAGUAAUGUUUGUCAAGUAACUAAUGCGAGUUGCUUCUUUUCAGGAAGCAAUGGCACCUCAUGGACGACCGCAGACAAGGUCGAUGCCGGGGGAGCCGAGUGCGGAGCCCGAGCGAUUCUGAGCGAGUGGUGACGGAGAGCUUAGGGAGCAAAUGGCCGCGCUUAUCGGUGUAGUGCGGCAACAAGCGGAGUCUGUUCAGCGUCAAGGGGAGCAGAUUCAGCGGCUCCAGGAGGCUUUGGAGCAUUAGUGUAAGGAAGUGAAUUCUCGAAAUACGAGGAUUGUACUUCAUCCAGGAUCGACUAAUUGUCGAAAGUAUACCCUUUGUGGGAGUUGAGAAUGUCCAAAGCACAAAAAGUGCCUUGGAGUUGAGUCCGCGAGAGCAAAUGAGGCAAACUGCAUCAUUGGGCUAAUGUUGCUCUCGGGGACCGGUCUUUGCAGGUGAGAGACCGGUUCCCCUGGCUGGGCAUAGCGGGGUUGCGUGAUGCAACCGGUCCCUGGCAGGGAGGGACCGGUUCCCGAACGUGGUCCCAGCGAGAGAUGCCAAAAAUUGGCUAAGUCCUGAAGAUCGAGCUCUCGGGGACCGGUCUCCCAGGUGAGGACCGGUCUCCCGAGGACCGGUCUCCCGGGGAGAGACCGGUUCCCGAACGCGUGCGCCCGAGGGAAGCUCUCGGGGACCGGUCCCAAGUCGGGGAGACCGGUCCCUCCGCGCGAAAACUGCCCAGUGAGGGCAGUGCACAGGAGUGAAAGUUGAGGGGCUUUUAUGCAAAAUGGCUUUUAUUUGAGUGGGCUGAGCCCUCUCUCUCCCUCACACUCUCUCAUUUCACUCUCUCUCACUCUCAUUUCUCUCUUGCUCUCUCUCUCUCUAGAAAGGAAAGAAGGAGAAGAAGAACAAGAAGGAGAGGAAGGAAAAGAAGAGGAAGAUAAGGAAGGAGAAGAAGAAGGAGAUCAAGAGGAAGGCUUUGAGCACCUCCAUCUCCCUCUCCUCUUCCCAUUGGAGUAGCUCUUGAGGUAAGCUACUAAACCCUAGCUUCUAGAACUUAGGGUUUUUGGGUUUUAUGCCUUGGAAUGGGUCAAAUGGACCCUAAGCAAGCUUCUAAAUAGAUCAAUCCCAAGAAUCUAGGGAUUUAUGGGGUGGUUUGCUAUAGGUGCAAAUCUAGGGCUCCAAAAUGGGGUUUUUGUAAAAGUAUGAGAUUGAUCUCAUUUGAAGCCUUGGAAACCCUAUUGAUAGGUCCCAAAACGCGGGGGCGAAGUCGAUUUUGGCAUUCGGCGAACCGACGUGAAGUUCUCGGCAAAAUCGGGCCGGGCUAGUGUUGAUUCGGGCGAGGAAGGCUAAAGCCUUUUCGUAAAGCUCGCCGAGAGAGAUUUCCGAAACCUCUACAUCGAUUAAAGGUGGGGGGUGUCAUCCGAAACUUUCGAACUCCUUUCUAUGUCUUAGAUUGCAUUUAAUCUCAUCUCUUCAUGUUGCAUUGUAGGAUUGCAUAGUAGCUCCAUUCCUUAUGCUUUCUAAUUGAUAACCUAGUGUACUUGGAACGCUUGGUAACUUAGAUAGGUGAGGAUUGGGUCGAGACGUGAAUCCUAUAGUGCGAAAGAAAAGAGAUGAACCCGAUGGGGGUAUUGAUGACAUAGAAAGUAGUGUUAUUGUUAAAGAACAAACGAGUGGCAUCCAAACAUUGAAUGAUAACGAGUGGCAUUAAUGUAGUGUAAAUAACACUAGAGGUCGAUGGACCUAGGGAUAGGUGGAUCCCUUAGAAAAUGCCUUGUGAACAAUGAAUUUAGAAAACUAAAUAGCAUUGCAUGAAUGUCGGGAACCGAUGAUUCCGCGAUAGUCGUUGACCCUAGUGUAGGGCGUCCUCACUUGGAGAGGAUUUGAUUGGGUUAUUGACUCUAGUUGUAGAGCCUCCUCACUUGGAGAGGAUUGGAUUGGGUGUUGACCCUAGUUACAGUGUAUCCUCACAUGGAGAGGAUAGAUCUAGCUCACAGUCUGCGUUUAGGGUGGCAUAGCCAUCCAAUCCCCACAUGGAGGGGAUUGUCGUCGAGUACUCCGGAGUGUCGCGCGACUAGGACCACUUGGAGGUCCGGACCACAUGGAGGUCCGCAGACGGUCCCGGGCUUGGGUGCACUUGGAGCUCCCUCCCCACUUUGGGAUUUGAAGGUGAGUCAUGGGCGAGCCCUAGGGCCUCGCCACAGAUUGGGUAAAUGAAAAAGGUUAAAGGUUUAUAAAUGUCAUUGAACAUUACUAUUCGAACAUGGAUCGAAUUUGUUAGCAUGGUAGCAAACCUUUAUUAUAUGAUGCAUGCAUUCAUAUUCAUGAUUAUGGGCAUAGUAGCAUAGUUUUCCUACUACUGCAUUUACAGCUUUCAGAUACAUAUCUAUCUAUCUAUCUGUUGUUACUUGUGCCCACUUGGACCUAGUGGGGAGAUCGGCAGAGUCGGCGGCCGAGCCCACUGGGAACUAUGGAAGAUAGUUCUCACCCCACUCUAUUUCCAGUGGUAGGUUCAGGGCUGCAGAGAGAGGACCGCGGCAAGGGCGUCGCGCCCGACCAGUGAGACCGUGGUAGUAUAGUAGCUUUCCUUUUUGCAUUAGUCACCUAUGUAUAGAGAGAGAUUUAUUGUGGGUGAGGAAAUGGAGAGCUAUGUAUUUUGGAAUGAAAAAUGAUGUAAAGAAUGCAACUAUUGUAAUAGUUAGUAAAGUACUCUCUUUAUUUCACUCGUAUAUCUUGUGAAUUACUUGCCCUUCUUGUUGUUGGCACUGUUUGUGCCCUCGAUGAAUGUGUAUGUUUAGAAUUUAAAGUCCUGGGUAAAUUCUUGUACACAUUCCUGUCGUUGAGCCUUGGGCGGACAAGGGAGAUGCUGUUCGUUCGGAGGUCCGCCGCCGCGGCCGAGCCGUGCCAAAUUGGUAGUGGUUUCGGGGCGGGGCGUGACAAUCUUUUGUGCGUGUACUCGAAGAUAGAUUUGCAGUCUGGCUACCACCAAUUGAAGAUCAAGCCAGAGGAUGUGCAGAAAACUGCGUUUUGUACGCGGUAUGGACAUUACGAAUUCACGGUCAUGCCAUUUGGGCUCACAAAUGCCCCAGCGGCAUUUAUGGAUUUGAUGAACCGUGUCUUCAGGAAAUUCUUGGAUCGAUUUGUCGUGGUCUUCAUAGACGACAUAUUGGUCUAUUCUCGUAGCGACGAAGAACAUGCNAAUCCCUUAGAAAAUGCCUUGUGAACAAUGAAUUUAGAAAGCUAAAUAGCAUUGCAUGAAUGUCGGGAACCAAUGAUUCCGCGAUGGUCGUUGACCCUAGUAUAGGGCGUCCUCACUUGGAGAGGAUUGGAUUGGGUAUAGACCCUAGUUACAGUGUAUCCUCACUUGGAGAGGAUAGAUCUAGCUCACAGUCUGCGUUUAUGAUGGUAUAGCCAUCCAAUCCCCACAUAGAGGGGAUUGUCGUCAAGUACUCCGGAGUGUCGCGCGACUAGGACCACUUGGAGGUUCGGACCACAAGGAGGUCUGCAGACGGUCCCGGGCUUGGGUGCACUUGGAGCUCCCUCCCCACUUUGGGAUUUGAAGGUGAGUCAUGGGCGAGCCCUAGGGCCUCGC